GACGAACGCUGGCGGCGUGCCUAACACAUGCAAGUCGAACGGAGAUACGAUUUCGGUUGUAUCUUAGUGGCGAACGGGUGAGUAACGCGUGAGCAACCUGACCUUUAGAGGGGGAUAACACUUGGAAACAGGUGCUAAUACCGCAUAAGACCACGACCCGACAUCGGGAUGAGGUCAAAGGAGAAAUCCGCUAAAGGAGGGGCUCGCGUCCCAUUAGAUAGAUGGCGGGGUAACGGCCCACCAUGUCGACGAUGGGUAGCCGAGCUGAGAGGCUGAUCGGCCACACUGGAACUGAGACACGGUCCAGACUCCUACGGGAGGCAGCAGUGGGGAAUAUUGGGCAAUGGGCGCAAGCCUGACCCAGCAACGCCGCGUGAGGGAAGAAGGUCUUCGGAUUGUAAACCUCUGUCCUUGGUGACGAAACAAAUGACGGUAGCCAAGGAGGAAGCCCCGGUAACUACGUGCCAGCAGCCGCGGUAAGCUAGUCUACG
This 491-nucleotide ribosomal RNA is filed under the name uncultured bacterium. Its description in RNAcentral is "bacterial SSU rRNA". It matches the Rfam family "Bacterial small subunit ribosomal RNA", at positions 28 to 531 of the family's 1533-position model. The record is from RNAcentral.